Non-coding RNA from Punica granatum (pomegranate), 508 nucleotides. The record is from RefSeq and is a predicted model, not a curated record. NCBI's taxonomy places the organism in Eukaryota, Viridiplantae, Streptophyta, Magnoliopsida, Myrtales, Lythraceae.
UGCCCCGGCAUAUACCGUCCCGACCUGGACUCCGCUCGGCGGCAUCCACUUAUCCUCAGGGAACCACUUGGCCCGGUGCCCACCACCUCCAUAGUCCUUCCUGUCCGUGAAUAUCACCACCCCGAUGGCUCCAGCCUGGCUUCGAUGCAUGAGAUCCUCGUACAGCAGCUAAGCCCGUACUUCAUUGCAUGACUCGGGCUCUAAAAGUAUCAACUACGCGAACGCUUCAACCAUCCGGCUGAGCCGAGGCUUUCUGGGCGUGUGCAAGUACAUGGCCCAAUUUUUAGUCUCGUUUACUAGUUGUGCUUGUGGGCCUUGAAUUAGAUUCAAUCAUAAAUACUUUUGAUCGGAGGUUGCUUGUUAUCUCUUGAAAAUUUUCUCAAUCAUGAAGUUUGUAAGCCGAUCUCAUCAAAUGCGGGUUCCGAGUUUGAAACACCGAGUUCACAUGGACAAUAGCAAUGCACUUAAUACACGGUGAAUCGGAGCUUUUUGUUAAACAAAUGCCUAA